This 519-nucleotide ribosomal RNA is filed under the name uncultured eukaryote. Its description in RNAcentral is "SSU rRNA". It matches the Rfam family "Eukaryotic small subunit ribosomal RNA", at positions 1161 to 1698 of the family's 1831-position model. The record is from RNAcentral.
AGGGCACCACCAGGAGUGGAGCCUGCGGCUUAAUUUGACUCAACACGGGAAAACUCACCCGGCCCGGACACUGGAAGGAUUGACAGAUUGAGAGCUCUUUCUUGAUUCAGUGGGUGGUGGUGCAUGGCCGUUCUUAGUUGGUGGAGUGAUUUGUCUGGUUAAUUCCGAUAACGAACGAGACUCUAGCCUAUUAAAUAGAUCGUUGGCUUACAAACGCCGGCGAGACUUCUUAGAGGGACAGGCGGCGAUUCAGCCGCACGAAACAGAGCAAUAACAGGUCUGUGAUGCCCUUAGAUGUCCGGGGCCGCACGCGCGCUGCACUGAAGUGAUCAGCGUGCAUUUUGAAACCUACUCUGUCAAGAGUGGGGAACCCAAUGAACCUUCUUCGUGAUUGGGAUAGGGGAUUGUAAUUAUUCCCCUUGAACGAGGAAUUCCCAGUAAGCGCGAAUCAUAAGUUUGCGCUGAUUACGUCCCUGCCCUUUGUACACACCGCCCGUCGCUACUACCGAUUGAAUGUUU